RNAcentral lists this ribosomal RNA (497 nucleotides) under uncultured bacterium. RNAcentral's name for it is "partial 16S ribosomal RNA". It matches the Rfam family "Bacterial small subunit ribosomal RNA", at positions 28 to 507 of the family's 1533-position model. The record is from RNAcentral.
GACGAACGCUGGCGGCGUGCCUAAUACAUGCAAGUUGAGCGCUGAAGGUUGGUACUUGUACCCACUGGAUGAGCAGCGAACGGGUGAGUAACGCGUGGGGAAUCUGCCUUUGAGCAGGGGACAACAUUUGGAAACGAAUGCUAAUACCGCAUAAAAACUUUAAACACAAGUUUUAAGUUUGAAAGAUGCAAUUGCAUCACUCAAAGAUGAUCCCGCGUUGUAUUAGCUAGUUGGUGAGGUAAAGGCUCACCAAGGCGAUGAUACAUAGCCGACCUGAGAGGGUGAUCGGCCACAUUGGGACUGAGACACGGCCCAAACUCCUACGGGAGGCAGCAGUAGGGAAUCUUCGGCAAUGGACGAAAGUCUGACCGAGCAACGCCGCGUGAGUGAAGAAGGUUUUCGGAUCGUAAAACUCUGUUGGUAGAGAAGAACGUUGGUGAGAGUGGAAAGCUCACCAAGUAACGGUAACUACCCAGAAAGGGACGGCUAACUACGUG